GCAUGGGGACAGGACCCACGGGCAGUCAGAGUUUCUGCUGCUGCUGCCGCUGCCCCCGCUGGCAUGGGGACAGGGCCCAUGGGCAGGCAGAGCAGCUGCUGCUGCCCCCGCUGGCAUGGGGACAGGACCCAUGGGCAGGCAGAGCUGGUGCGUGGGGACAGGACCCACGGGCAGUCAGAGCUCCUGCUGCUGCCCCGAGUUGAGGGUUAGGGCUAAUUUUAUAAGGCAUGGGUAUGUGGGUCAUUUCUUUACAAGACAAAGGAAAGAACAUGAAAAAAAGUUAAAACGGUAUCAGUGCAGGUGGGGUCUGGUCAUUGGGUGAUCCCAUGACUUUUAGACAAGAAUCAAAUCGGAUUAAGUAAAG
Molecule: long non-coding RNA, 364 nt
Filed under: Equus caballus (horse)
Lineage: Eukaryota; Metazoa; Chordata; Mammalia; Perissodactyla; Equidae
Description: lncRNA (ENSECAG00000058189.1)
Source: RNAcentral